AUGUAAGUUCUUUGCGACGAGGUGACAGUGUAGAUGGUGAUGUUGAUUUUAUAUGUAAUAGUCCAAUACAGCAUUCUAAAAAAAAAAAAAAAAACCAACAUGCUUUGUGUUUUGAUAAACAACUUUUUGAACAUGGGAAAAGUUUAUUUUCAUGCCAAAGGCGCCCCAUUAUAGAAGUAGUUUAAGAAGCUAUACAAAGAAUUGCACCAAAGGAAAGAUGAAAACAGAUUGGCCUCAUUAGCUGGAAGAAGAGAAGACUGAGAUCCUGAUAAAAUUGGAGGAAAAAAGGAAAGGAAAGGAAAAUGUCAACUAGUGAUCUCUAGGACCUUGUUGCUCAAGGAACGUUAUAUGAACUAGAAGCUUCAGCAUCACCUCGGAAAUUUCUG
Molecule: long non-coding RNA, 386 nt
Organism: Erinaceus europaeus (western European hedgehog)
Lineage: Eukaryota; Metazoa; Chordata; Mammalia; Eulipotyphla; Erinaceidae
Exons: 3
Source: RefSeq, a predicted model, not a curated record